GAUCUUGGAGAGCGGGCGGCAAAAUGGCGGCGCAAGCAGCUCUGGGGCUCGUGUGUCGGCGCCUUUGGCAGGGCCCGAGGAGCUUGCCUGCCGCCUGCCGGAGGAGCAACCCGGCCAGCACUGGCGGCUUUCUUCUCACCUGCAGGGAGUGGGUGCAGUGUUCGAACCUACACGUCGAUCUCCCCAAGGACGUGACCAAGCCCACGGUACGUGCUCCUGUUUCCUGGUUAAGGGGUUAGAUUAGUAGUGAGGGUUCUUCUUUCCUUGUGGGGUUGGGUCCCCAACAGCUGCGGAAGUUAAAAGUCUUCCUCGCGUGCCUGAGAGAAGUGUUCUCUGACCCACUUGGCUGCUCAUGUCAUCCCUGAUGAGGGUUUCCAGAUAAGUUCAGGAGGGUAAAUUAUUCACCCCCAGAUAACUAGAAAUGAGCAGUCCCUUGCUCUUAGCUCAGCCUAGCGUGAAAUGCCCCAUCUGUUCUACUUCAUUAGCAGCACACUGACGUUACAGGUUGUGGGAAAGUAGCUGCUCAGGGCCCUCAAAUCCGUGUUUUCCUUUUAACAUGCUGAAACUGGGCCUUGGCCCCGGCCUGGCUUUGAACACUGCUUUAGCUUCACAGUAAGAAAGGACAUGGCCACAGAGGGAAAUUGAGAAACAGCUGGGUAGUCUAGAUUUUUUUUCAGUAAAAGCUGUGAUUCCAGCUAUCCAGUUUUUAUGCUUAAAAUUGUUAAAAAUCCAUACUUAUUAAGCUUCAAUUAUAGUUCAGUAUGGCUUAAAUGUACUCCCCACCUUCAAGCGCCACCCC
Molecule: long non-coding RNA, 799 nt
Organism: Echinops telfairi (small Madagascar hedgehog)
Lineage: Eukaryota; Metazoa; Chordata; Mammalia; Afrosoricida; Tenrecidae
Exons: 3
Source: RefSeq, a predicted model, not a curated record